CAGCAGCCGCGGUAAUACGAAGGGGGCUAGCGUUGUUCGGAUUUACUGGGCGUAAAGCGCACGUAGGCGGAUCGAUCAGUCAGGGGUGAAAUCCCAGAGCUCAACUCUGGAACUGCCUUUGAUACUGUCGAUCUGGAGUAUGGAAGAGGUGAGUGGAAUUCCGAGUGUAGAGGUGAAGUUCGUAGACAUUCGGAGGAACACCAGUGGCGAAGGCGGCUCACUGGUCCAUUACUGACGCUGAGGUGCGAAAGCGUGGGGAGCAAACAGGAUUAGAUACCCCAGUAGUCCCUGUCUCUUAUAA
Molecule: ribosomal RNA, 301 nt
Filed under: uncultured bacterium
Lineage: Bacteria
Description: partial 16S ribosomal RNA
Rfam family: Bacterial small subunit ribosomal RNA
Source: RNAcentral